Molecule: ribosomal RNA, 465 nt
Filed under: Vreelandella stevensii
Lineage: Bacteria; Pseudomonadati; Pseudomonadota; Gammaproteobacteria; Oceanospirillales; Halomonadaceae
Description: partial 16S ribosomal RNA
Rfam family: Bacterial small subunit ribosomal RNA
Source: RNAcentral
CCUACGGGCGGCAGCAGUGGGGAAUAUUGGACAAUGGGGGCAACCCUGAUCCAGCCAUGCCGCGUGUGUGAAGAAGGCCCUCGGGUUGUAAAGCACUUUCAGUGAGGAAGAACGCCUGGUGGUUAAUACCCAUCAGGAAAGACAUCACUCACAGAAGAAGCACCGGCUAACUCCGUGCCAGCAGCCGCGGUAAUACGGAGGGCGCGAGCGUUAAUCGGAAUUACUGGGCGUAAAGCGCGCGUAGGUGGCUUGAUAAGCCGGUUGUGAAAGCCCCGGGCUCAACCUGGGAACGGCAUCCGGAACUGUCAAGCUAGAGUGCAGGAGAGGAAGGUAGAAUUCCCGGUGUAGCGGUGAAAUGCGUAGAGAUCGGGAGGAAUACCAGUGGCGAAGGCGGCCUUCUGGACUGACACUGACACUGAGGUGCGAAAGCGUGGGUAGCAAACAGGAUUAGAUACCCGGGUAGUC